UUGCUCGGAAUCACUGGGCGUAAAGGGUGCGUAGGCGGGUCUUUAAGUAAGGGGUGAAAUCCUGGAGCUCAACUCCAGAACUGCCUUUGAUACUGAAGAUCUUGAGUUCGGGAGAGGUGAGUGGAACUGCGAGUGUAGAGGUGAAAUUCGUAGAUAUUCGCAAGAACACCAGUGGCGAAGGCGGCUCACUGGCCCGAUACUGACGCUGAGGCACGAAAGCGUGGGGAGCAAACAGG
RNAcentral lists this ribosomal RNA (236 nucleotides) under uncultured bacterium. RNAcentral's name for it is "partial 16S ribosomal RNA". It matches the Rfam family "Bacterial small subunit ribosomal RNA", at positions 541 to 776 of the family's 1533-position model. The record is from RNAcentral.